This 264-nucleotide ribosomal RNA is filed under the name uncultured bacterium. RNAcentral describes it as "partial 16S ribosomal RNA". It matches the Rfam family "Bacterial small subunit ribosomal RNA", at positions 793 to 1055 of the family's 1533-position model. The record is from RNAcentral.
GUCCACGCCGUAAACGAUGGGCGCUAGGUGUGGGAGGUGUCGACUCCUUCCGUGCCGCAGCUAACGCAUUAAGCGCCCCGCCUGGGGAGUACGGCCGCAAGGCUAAAACUCAAAGGAAUUGACGGGGGCCCCGCACAAGCAGCGGAGCAUGUGGUUUAAUUGGAUGCAACGCCAAGAACCUUACCAAGGCAUGACAUGUUCGGGAAAGCUGGAGAAAUUCAGCCCUCCUUCGGGACCCGAUCACAGGUGGUGCAUGGCUGUCGU